Non-coding RNA from Dipodomys ordii (Ord's kangaroo rat), 65 nucleotides. The record is from Rfam. NCBI's taxonomy places the organism in Eukaryota, Metazoa, Chordata, Mammalia, Rodentia, Heteromyidae.
GGUGGCUCAGUGGUAGAGUGCUUGCCUUGCAUGCAUGAGACCCUGGGUUCAAUUCCUCAGCACCA